GAGCAAUCUGCCCCUGACUCUGGGAUAAGCGCUGGAAACGGCGUCUAAUACCGGAUACGAGCCGAGCAGGCAUCUGCAUCGGUUGGAAAGAACUUCGGUCAGGGAUGAGCUCGCGGCCUAUCAGCUUGUUGGUGAGGUAAUGGCUCACCAAGGCCACGACGGGUAGCCGGCCUGAGAGGGUGACCGGCCACACUGGGACUGAGACACGGCCCAGACUCCUACGGGAGGCAGCAGUGGGGAAUAUUGCACAAUGGGCGAAAGCCUGAUGCAGCAACGCCGCGUGAGGGACGAAGGCCUUCGGGUUGUAAACCUCUUUUAGCAGGGAAGAAGCGAGAGUGACGGUACCUGCAGAAAAAGCACCGGCUAACUACGUGCCAGCAGCCGCGGUAAUACGUAGGGUGCGAGCGUUAUCCGGAAUUAUUGGGCGUAAAGAGCUCGUAGGCGGUCUGUCGCGUCUGCUGUGAAAACCCGAGGCUCAACCUCGGGCUUGCAGUGGGUACGGGCAGACUAGAGUGCGGUAGGGGAGAUUGGAAUUCCUGGUGUAGCGGUGGAAUGCGCAGAUAUCAGGAGGAACACCGAUGGCGAAGGCAGAUCUCUGGGCCGUUACUGACGCUGAGGAGCGAAAGCGUGGGGAGCAAACAGGCUUAGAUACCCUGGUAGUCCACGCCGUAAACGUUGGGAACUAGAUGUGGGGACCAUUCCACGGUCUCCGUGUCGUAGCUAACGCAUUAAGUUCCCCGCCUGGGGAGUACGGCCGCAAGGCUAAAACUCAAAGG
RNAcentral lists this ribosomal RNA (776 nucleotides) under Actinomycetes bacterium. RNAcentral describes it as "bacterial SSU rRNA". It matches the Rfam family "Bacterial small subunit ribosomal RNA", at positions 119 to 907 of the family's 1533-position model. The record is from RNAcentral. Lineage: Bacteria; Bacillati; Actinomycetota; Actinomycetes.